UACGUAGGGGGCUAGCGUUGUCCGGAAUCAUUGGGCGUAAAGCGCGCGUAGGCGGCCGGUAAGUCCGUUGUGAAAGUCAAAGGCUCAACCUUUGAAAGCCGAUGGAUACUGCCGGGCUAGAGUCCGGAAGAGGCGAGUGGAAUUCCUGGUGUAGCGGUGGAAUGCGCAGAUAUCAGGAGGAACACCGAUAGCGAAGGCAGCUCGCUGGGACGGUACUGACGCUGAGGCGCGAAAGCGUGGGGAGCGAACAGG
RNAcentral lists this ribosomal RNA (252 nucleotides) under uncultured bacterium. RNAcentral describes it as "partial 16S ribosomal RNA". It matches the Rfam family "Bacterial small subunit ribosomal RNA", at positions 524 to 776 of the family's 1533-position model. The record is from RNAcentral.